Non-coding RNA from Podarcis lilfordi (Lilford's wall lizard), 74 nucleotides. Lineage: Eukaryota; Metazoa; Chordata; Lepidosauria; Squamata; Lacertidae. The record is from the annotation of a GenBank genome assembly.
GGAGAGCUGUAGCUCAGGGGUAGAGCAGAUGCUUUCCCUGCUGAGGCUCCUGGGUUCGAUUCCUGGCAUCUCCA